AACGCACAUUGCACCUCUUGGUAUUCCUUGAGGUAUGCCUGUUUGAGCGCCGUUUGACAUUCCUAAAGCUUUGCUUUGUGUUGAAUCUUGUGCUCCGUAAUGGAAUACAGAUUUCAAAUAAAUCUGCCCAAUUUCUUGUAGCAAUAGCAGCAAAAGUGCUUUUUGUAACAAUGAAAAAUUGGGCAUGUCAAUCGAUCGCAUGGCCUCAAAUCAGGUAGGGCUACCCGCUGAACUUAA
RNAcentral lists this unclassified non-coding RNA (237 nucleotides) under uncultured fungus. Its description in RNAcentral is "sequence contains ITS2". Lineage: Eukaryota; Fungi. The record is from RNAcentral.